GAUGAACGCUGGCGGCGUGCCUAAUACAUGCAAGUCGAGCGAACAGACGAGGAGCUUGCUCCUCUGACGUUAGCGGCGGACGGGUGAGUAACACGUGGAUAACCUACCUAUAAGACUGGGAUAACUUCGGGAAACCGGAGCUAAUACCGGAUAAUAUAUUGAACCGCAUGGUUCAAUAGUGAAAGACGGUUUUGCUGUCACUUAUAGAUGGAUCCGCGCCGCAUUAGCUAGUUGGUAAGGUAACGGCUUACCAAGGCAACGAUGCGUAGCCGACCUGAGAGGGUGAUCGGCCACAUGGGAACUGAGACACGGUCCAGACUCCUACGGGAGGCAGCAGUAGGGAAUCUUCCGCAAUGGGCGAAAGCCUGACGGAGCAACGCCGCGUGAGUGAUGAAGGUCUUCGGAUCGUAAAACUCUGUUAUUCGGGAAGAACAAAUGUGUAAGUAACUAUGCACGUCUUGACGGUACCUAAUCAGAAAGCCACGGCUAACUACGUG
This 497-nucleotide ribosomal RNA is filed under the name uncultured bacterium. RNAcentral describes it as "partial 16S ribosomal RNA". It matches the Rfam family "Bacterial small subunit ribosomal RNA", at positions 28 to 507 of the family's 1533-position model. The record is from RNAcentral.